RNAcentral lists this ribosomal RNA (495 nucleotides) under uncultured bacterium. RNAcentral's name for it is "bacterial SSU rRNA". It matches the Rfam family "Bacterial small subunit ribosomal RNA", at positions 15 to 507 of the family's 1533-position model. The record is from RNAcentral.
GAUCCUGGCUCAGAUUGAACGCUGGCGGCAUGCUUUACACAUGCAAGUCGAACGAUGAACCUUAGCUUGCUAAGGGGAUUAGUGGCGAACGGGUGAGUAAUAUAUCGGAACGUACCUUGUAAUGGGGGGAUAACUAGUCGAAAGAUUAGCUAAUACCGCAUACGCCCUGAGGGGAAAGCGGGGACCGUAAGGCCUCGCGCGAUUAGAGCGGCCGAUAUCUGAUUAGCUUGUUGGUGGGGUAAAAGCCCACCAAGGCGACGAUCAGUAGCUGGUCUGAGAGGACGAUCAGCCACACUGGGACUGAGACACGGCCCAGACUCCUACGGGAGGCAGCAGUGGGGAAUUUUGGACAAUGGGGGCAACCCUGAUCCAGCAAUGCCGCGUGAGUGAAGAAGGCCUUCGGGUUGUAAAGCUCUUUUGUCAGGGAAGAAACAGCAGCUCUAACACAGUCUGCGAAUGACGGUACCUGAAGAAUAAGCACCGGCUAACUACGUG